GGACCUUUAGCUCAGUUGGUGAGAGCAGACGGCUCAUAACCGUCCAGUCGUAGGUUCGAGUCCUACAAGGUCCA
This 74-nucleotide transfer RNA is filed under the name Bacillus sp. JAS24-2. RNAcentral describes it as "tRNA-Met". It matches the Rfam family "tRNA". From Rfam's summary of the family: Transfer RNA (tRNA) molecules are approximately 80 nucleotides in length. Their secondary structure includes four short double-helical elements and three loops (D, anti-codon, and T loops). The record is from RNAcentral. Lineage: Bacteria; Bacillati; Bacillota; Bacilli; Caryophanales; Bacillaceae.